Molecule: ribosomal RNA, 1399 nt
Filed under: Salmonella enterica subsp. enterica serovar Infantis
Lineage: Bacteria; Pseudomonadati; Pseudomonadota; Gammaproteobacteria; Enterobacterales; Enterobacteriaceae
Description: bacterial SSU rRNA
Rfam family: Bacterial small subunit ribosomal RNA
Source: RNAcentral
GGGGGAUAACUACUGGAAACGGUGGCUAAUACCGCAUAACGUCGCAAGACCAAAGAGGGGGACCUUCGGGCCUCUUGCCAUCAGAUGUGCCCAGAUGGGAUUAGCUUGUUGGUGAGGUAACGGCUCACCAAGGCGACGAUCCCUAGCUGGUCUGAGAGGAUGACCAGCCACACUGGAACUGAGACACGGUCCAGACUCCUACGGGAGGCAGCAGUGGGGAAUAUUGCACAAUGGGCGCAAGCCUGAUGCAGCCAUGCCGCGUGUAUGAAGAAGGCCUUCGGGUUGUAAAGUACUUUCAGCGGGGAGGAAGGUGUUGUGGUUAAUAACCGCAGCAAUUGACGUUACCCGCAGAAGAAGCACCGGCUAACUCCGUGCCAGCAGCCGCGGUAAUACGGAGGGUGCAAGCGUUAAUCGGAAUUACUGGGCGUAAAGCGCACGCAGGCGGUCUGUCAAGUCGGAUGUGAAAUCCCCGGGCUCAACCUGGGAACUGCAUUCGAAACUGGCAGGCUUGAGUCUUGUAGAGGGGGGUAGAAUUCCAGGUGUAGCGGUGAAAUGCGUAGAGAUCUGGAGGAAUACCGGUGGCGAAGGCGGCCCCCUGGACAAAGACUGACGCUCAGGUGCGAAAGCGUGGGGAGCAAACAGGAUUAGAUACCCUGGUAGUCCACGCCGUAAACGAUGUCUACUUGGAGGUUGUGCCCUUGAGGCGUGGCUUCCGGAGCUAACGCGUUAAGUAGACCGCCUGGGGAGUACGGCCGCAAGGUUAAAACUCAAAUGAAUUGACGGGGGCCCGCACAAGCGGUGGAGCAUGUGGUUUAAUUCGAUGCAACGCGAAGAACCUUACCUGGUCUUGACAUCCACAGAAGAAUCCAGAGAUGGAUUUGUGCCUUCGGGAACUGUGAGACAGGUGCUGCAUGGCUGUCGUCAGCUCGUGUUGUGAAAUGUUGGGUUAAGUCCCGCAACGAGCGCAACCCUUAUCCUUUGUUGCCAGCGGUCCGGCCGGGAACUCAAAGGAGACUGCCAGUGAUAAACUGGAGGAAGGUGGGGAUGACGUCAAGUCAUCAUGGCCCUUACGACCAGGGCUACACACGUGCUACAAUGGCGCAUACAAAGAGAAGCGACCUCGCGAGAGCAAGCGGACCUCAUAAAGUGCGUCGUAGUCCGGAUUGGAGUCUGCAACUCGACUCCAUGAAGUCGGAAUCGCUAGUAAUCGUGGAUCAGAAUGCCACGGUGAAUACGUUCCCGGGCCUUGUACACACCGCCCGUCACACCAUGGGAGUGGGUUGCAAAAGAAGUAGGUAGCUUAACCUUCGGGAGGGCGCUUACCACUUUGUGAUUCAUGACUGGGGUGAAGUCGUAACAAGGUAACCGUAGGGGAACCUGCGGUUGGAUCACCUCCUUA